This 444-nucleotide long non-coding RNA is filed under the name Malus domestica (apple). Its description in RNAcentral is "long non-coding RNA (MDOM_LNC004227)". The record is from RNAcentral. Lineage: Eukaryota; Viridiplantae; Streptophyta; Magnoliopsida; Rosales; Rosaceae.
AGAGAUAAGUGACCUUGGAGGAGGAAAGAUUGCUAGCUAAUCUUCUCCAAGGGGCCGGCCUCCUAGAGAGAAAGGGAGAGACAUGUUCUCUCUAAUUUUCUCCAAAAGAAAACCCUAAGGAUGAAAUGUCUAUAAAGUUGCCUUUAUACCACCUCACAAUGGAGUGGCAAACUUGCAAUUAAGCCAAGUUCACUACCCCUUUCUAUAUGGCCGGCCAUUAAGGGUUCAUUGGGCUUUCAUGCCCUUUGUGUUUUCAAGUUGUCAUACAACUUGAGUUAAUGGGCUUGACAUUCAAAUCCCAUUGGGCCUUGCGGCCCAAAACUAACCCGAGGUCUUUAACGAACUUUAUUCGUUUGAUUCGUUAACAUAUUAAUUAAUCCUUGCCAUAAAUAAUUAAACCAUUUAAUUAUCAUUACUCAUCUCCGUUGUUUCUUCAAUCUCUAC